CGCCAGCCUGACGGAGCCAGACCGCGUGGGGGAGGAAGGCCCUUGGGUUGUAAACCCCUUUUCUCAGGGAAGAAGACCUGACGGUACCUGAGGAAUCAGCCUCGGCUAACUCCGUGCCAGCAGCCGCGGUAAUACGGAGGAGGCAAGCGUUAUCCGGAAUUAUUGGGCGUAAAGCGUCCGCAGGGGGCUCAUCAAGUCUGCUGUCAAAGGUCGGAGCUCAACUCCGGUUCGGCAGUGGAAACUGGUGGGCUAGAGGGCGACAGGGGUAGAGGGAAUUCCCAGUGUAGCGGUGAAAUGCGUAGAGAUUGGGAAGAACACCGGUGGCGAAAGCGCUUUGCUGGACCGAACCUGACGCUGAGGGACGAAAGCUAAGGUAGCG
RNAcentral lists this ribosomal RNA (379 nucleotides) under uncultured cyanobacterium. RNAcentral describes it as "bacterial SSU rRNA". It matches the Rfam family "Bacterial small subunit ribosomal RNA", at positions 376 to 770 of the family's 1533-position model. Lineage: Bacteria; Bacillati; Cyanobacteriota. The record is from RNAcentral.